This is a long non-coding RNA of Panicum hallii, 689 nucleotides long. RefSeq lists it as uncharacterized. The record is from RefSeq and is a predicted model, not a curated record. Lineage: Eukaryota; Viridiplantae; Streptophyta; Magnoliopsida; Poales; Poaceae. The transcript is spliced from 2 exons.
CCUUCUGUUCUUCUCAUUGAGCAAUCCAAUAAGCAAUACAUCAGGUGUUUCCUACACAAAGUCUUGACAUCUAUUGCUGCACUUGGCAUACGGCAGUAAAAUUGGUUUAUGUUGUCUUAUCCUGAUUUCCAGUACAGUAUAGUAGAAGCACUCUAUCAGAUUGGAUGGCUACCUGUUUCCUUUGUGAUGUACGGAUCCACAUAAGAAGGGAAUACAACUUGCUUCUCUUAUGGUGCUUUGUCCCAUCCCAAAUUCAAUUUGCAUGCAUCGGAGAUUGUUAGCUGUUGUGAUUACUAAGACUAAACCUGUGGCUGACCAUUCUUUCUUUUUACAGUGCUGGAUGUAGCAGACUCUUUCUGCUUGUGUUAAAUGGUAGCUGGUUUGAGUUCAAUGUAAUAAAACUAUUUGAUUUCUUCUUAAAGCAAAGAUAUACAGCUCUCCCGCAUAUUCAAGAGAUAAAAGAAAAAGAAGGCGAGCACAGGUAGAGAAAGAGAAAGAAGUUCUACAAAGUCUGGUGGCUGGAGGAGGCAACAAAAUGAAUGAAAUCUCAAUCUAAUUCAAGAACGCAUGGAGGGCAUCGGAGCAUGAGUAACUUGAUCCUUCCAACAAAGGAUUAAAUAUGAACUAAAUUUUAUCUUUUAUAUAUUAUUUUUAAUUUCUGCCAUAAAAUGAAAUAGCUGAUUUUGCUU